RNAcentral lists this ribosomal RNA (950 nucleotides) under uncultured archaeon. RNAcentral's name for it is "bacterial SSU rRNA". It matches the Rfam family "Archaeal small subunit ribosomal RNA", at positions 1 to 959 of the family's 1478-position model. The record is from RNAcentral.
UUCCGGUUGAUCCCGCCGGAGGUCACUGCUAUUGGGAUUCGAUUAAGCCAUGCGAGUCGAGAGGGUUCGGCCCUCGGCUGACUGCUCAGUAACACGUGGAUAAUCUGCCCUUGGGUGGAGAAUAAUCUCGGGAAACUGAGAAUAAUACUCCAUAGAUCUAGGAGGCUGGAAUGCAUCUAGGUUAAAAGCUUCGGCGCCUAAGGAUGAGUCUGCGGGCUAUUAGAUUGUAGUCAGGGUAAUGACCUGACUAGUCUACGAUGGCUACGGGUUGUGAGAGCAAUCGCCCGGAGAUGAUAUCUGAGACACGAUAUCAGGUCCUACGGGAUGCAGCAGGCGCGAAAACUUCACACUGUGCGAAAGCACGAUGAGGGAAUCCCAAGUGCCAGCUCGUAAGAGUUGGCUGUUUUUUUGUCUAAAAAACAGAGAGAGUAAGAGCUGGGUAAGACGGGUGCCAGCCGCCGCGGUAAUACCUGCAGCUCGAGUGGUGACCGCUAUUAUUGGGCCUAAAACGUUCGUAGCCGGUUUCGUAAAUGCUUGGGUAAAUCGUUUGGCUUAACCAAACGAAUUCCGGGUAGACUACGAGACUUGAGAUCGGGAGAGGCUAGAGGUACUCCUGGGGUAGAGGUGAAAUUCUGUAAUCCUAGGGGGACCACCAGUGGCGAAGGCGUCUAGCUAGAACGAGUUUGACGGUGAGGAACGAAGCCCUGGGGCGCAAACGGGAUUAGAUACCCCGGUAGUCCAGGGUGUAAACGCUGCUCGCUUGAUGUUAGAUGGGCUCCGAGCCCAACUAGUGUCGGAAAGAAGUUGUUAAGCGAGCUGCCUGGGGAGUACGGUCGCAAGGCUGAAACUUAAAGGAAUUGGCGGGGGAGCACAGCACGGGAGGAGCGUGCGGGUUUAAUUGGAUUCAACGCCGGAAAUCACUAGUGCGGCCGCCUGCAGGUCGACCAUAU